This 70-nucleotide transfer RNA is filed under the name Anguis veronensis (Italian slow worm). RNAcentral's name for it is "tRNA-Thr". It matches the Rfam family "tRNA". Rfam says of the family: Transfer RNA (tRNA) molecules are approximately 80 nucleotides in length. Their secondary structure includes four short double-helical elements and three loops (D, anti-codon, and T loops). Further hydrogen bonds mediate the characteristic L-shaped molecular structure. tRNAs have two regions of fundamental functional importance: the anti-codon, which is responsible for specific mRNA codon recognition, and the 3' end, to which the tRNAs corresponding amino acid is attached (by aminoacyl-tRNA synthetases). tRNAs cope with the degeneracy of the genetic code in two manners: having more than one tRNA (with a specific anti-codon) for a particular amino acid; and 'wobble' base-pairing, i.e. permitting non-standard base-pairing at the 3rd anti-codon position. The record is from RNAcentral. Lineage: Eukaryota; Metazoa; Chordata; Lepidosauria; Squamata; Anguidae.
GUUUUAAUAGCUUAGCCACAAAGCACUGGUCUUGUAAGCCAGAGACGGGGAACUUCCUCCCCUUAAAACA